Long non-coding RNA from Papilio polytes (common Mormon), 907 nucleotides. RefSeq lists it as uncharacterized. The record is from RefSeq and is a predicted model, not a curated record. The transcript is spliced from 2 exons. NCBI's taxonomy places the organism in Eukaryota, Metazoa, Arthropoda, Insecta, Lepidoptera, Papilionidae.
CUCUCAAACAAUAAACCUUUCAGAAUUAUUCCGCCAAGUCAAAAUGACUACAGCCGUAAAAGUUGACACCUACGUGUUCUUUCGUUAAAUGCUUCUAAAUUAAGCACUAAAUGCACGAUAUCCGCUUGCACUAAACCUAGUUAGUUUGUAGUGAAGCUAACAAGUUUGUGUGUUCCCAAGGUGGUGAUACCGAGCCUUUAUAACACUAACUGCAUACUUCAGGUGACAGGGAAAGUGGUGAGGAGACAGAGGAGUCCCCCCUCGCUAGCAAGUUGACCUCAGGGCCCGCGCGCGCCUCUAUUGCCAUUCGCUGAUCGAUCGCCAACGCGGCAACACUCUCUGCAAUACUCGUUCUAAUAAAAAUGUAUACUCUUUAAAUUAACAUAAAACUGUAUUGUACUUUUCUGGCCCAAUUUAAAAUGUAUAUUUUUACGCGUGACAAAAUUACCGUAAUUGAUUCUAAAAUUAAUAUUUAGCUGGUCAUCUUUAAAAUUAUAAGUAAACAUAUAUUGAAUCAUGUUAAGAGACAAAUAUGGUAAUUUUAAUGUUUUCUUGAUAAUUUGAUAGUAUUUUAGGAUGUUAUUUUUGUAUUGUGAAAAUUAAUUAAUCCUUAGUAAAUAGGAAUUGCAAUAGAUAUCGUCUUCCACUUGUAAGCGAACACUGGAGCUUUAAUAUAGUUCAUAACUGUAUCUAUACUAAUUUAUAUACGUAAAAAGGUGCUAAGUUUUAGAUUUGAUAAUAUAAGAUUUAUAUAGAGAUUAUAUUACCUGUUUACAUUAAUUCAAACUAGCAGAGGUAUUAAUUUUGAAGCCUAAAUACUUGAUACAGCCUUAAUACAGACUUGUGUUUCAUAAACUAUAAUCUACCGGUUUGUAUUGCACGGUAAUACAAGAUUUUUUAAUUAAAA